CUCCCCUCGAGCGCGGCUUCACGGCCUGUCGCCCGGUGUUGGGGCGCUACGGUGGAGCCCCGCGCUCCCCCCGUAGGCCCCGAAAUGUAGUGGCGGUCCCGCCGCGGCGCCCCCUGCGUAGUAGUCUUACAACUCGCAUCGGGACCCGGCGGAGGCCAGCCGUCAAACCCCCAACUUCAAUA
Molecule: unclassified non-coding RNA, 182 nt
Filed under: Acaulium acremonium
Lineage: Eukaryota; Fungi; Ascomycota; Sordariomycetes; Microascales; Microascaceae
Description: partial internal transcribed spacer 2
Source: RNAcentral